GUGGAGGGUGUGCUUGUGCUGGACCUUAUGGCCACCAAUUGCUCACUAUCAACAAAUCUCAAUCUCUUGCUAUUAGAUCAGCAAUUCAAGAGGUAUAGUGUCAAAAAUUUAUAUCACAAAACAUUUUAUUCUAUAAAACAUUAAACAUUCUAUUGUCAUAAACUGGUUACAUAACAUGUCGACACAAAUGUCUGUUACAUACACUAUUCCAGAAAAAAACUUGUUUUAGAACCAAAUUUGGCUAAAUAAUGUUUAAACUGAUGUUGCUUAUUACUUGAACAGGGUUAUGUUGGUGUGAAACCUGGAUGGAGUAGAGUUAGUUUUCCGUAUUACAUGGAGGAGGAGGAAUUUGAGUUCAUUUUAACAGCGAUAGAGUUUGUAGCAAACUAUGGCCAACGCUUCCUUCCCUUGUAUAGCUACAAUCUGAGAAACGGAAGUUGGAGAAUGAAGAAAGAGAAACUUCAGGCUCUGAUAAACCAAAAUAACUGCAACUUUCAGAAAACUCUAAAGGAAGCAAAUGAUUUGAAAGCAGUCAAAGCAGGUGUUGGAACCAAACAAUUUCGUGUGUUAAGAAAAUCAUACCUAGAUAUAUCAAAAUGUAUUGCUGGUCUUCUCCCCAACUUCC
RNAcentral lists this long non-coding RNA (625 nucleotides) under Phaseolus vulgaris (common bean). Its description in RNAcentral is "long non-coding RNA (PVUL_LNC004703)". The record is from RNAcentral. Lineage: Eukaryota; Viridiplantae; Streptophyta; Magnoliopsida; Fabales; Fabaceae.